CCAAUAGCGUAUAUUAAAGUUGUUGCAGUUAAAAAGCUCGUAGUUGAACCUUAGGCCCGUGCGGGCGGUCCGUCCUCUGGGCGAGCACUGCUUCGUCGCGGGUCUCACCUUCUGGCGAGCGUGGAUGCCAUUUAUUUGGUGUCCGCGGGAACCAGGACCUUUACCUUGAAAAAAUUAGAGUGCUCAAAGCGGGCUCCGACGCUUGAAUACAUUAGCAUGGAAUAAUGAAAUAGGACGAUGGUUCUAUUUUGUUGGUUUCCGGGACGGUCGUAAUGAUUAA
RNAcentral lists this ribosomal RNA (280 nucleotides) under uncultured Paraglomus. RNAcentral describes it as "partial 18S small subunit ribosomal RNA". It matches the Rfam family "Eukaryotic small subunit ribosomal RNA", at positions 591 to 872 of the family's 1831-position model. The record is from RNAcentral. Lineage: Eukaryota; Fungi; Glomeromycota; Glomeromycetes; Paraglomerales; Paraglomeraceae.